GAUGAACGCUAGCGGCGUGCCUAAUACAUGCAAGUCGAGCGAACAGACGUGAAGCUGGAACCUGCGCAGUUAUCGGUGAACGGUAUACUAACUCCUUGUCAACUAACCUAUGAGCCGGGGAUAACUUCGUAAUACCUGAGGUAAUAUAGGAGAAUAUUUUGUAUCGCAUUAUUCAAUAGUAGAAGACGGUCUUGCUGUCACUCAUAGAUCGAGCCGCGCUGCAUUAGCUAAUUGGUAAGGUAACGGCUUACCAAGGCAACGAUGCAUAUCCGACGUGAGAGGAGGGUCGGCCACACUAGAACUGAGCCGCGGUCCAGACUCCUACGGGAGGCAGCAGUAGGGAAUCGUACGCAAUGGACGAAUGCGUGACGGAGCAACGCCGCGCGAGUGAUGGAGGUCUUCGGAUCGUGAAACUCUGUUGUUAGGGAAGAAGAAAUGUGUAAGUAACUGUGCAUAUCUUGACGGUACCUAAUCAAAAAGCAACGGCUAACUACGUG
Molecule: ribosomal RNA, 497 nt
Filed under: uncultured bacterium
Lineage: Bacteria
Description: partial 16S ribosomal RNA
Rfam family: Bacterial small subunit ribosomal RNA
Source: RNAcentral